RNAcentral lists this ribosomal RNA (253 nucleotides) under uncultured bacterium. Its description in RNAcentral is "partial 16S ribosomal RNA". It matches the Rfam family "Bacterial small subunit ribosomal RNA", at positions 524 to 776 of the family's 1533-position model. The record is from RNAcentral.
GACGAAGGAUGCAAGCGUUAUCCGGAUUCAUUGGGUUUAAAGGGAGCGUAGGUGGCCUUAUAAGUCAGUGGUGAAAUCCCGCAGCUUAACUGUGGAAUUGCCAUUGAUACUGUAGGGCUUGAGUACAGAUGCCGUUGGCGGAAUAUGACAUGUAGUGGUGAAAUACAUAGAUAUGACAUAGAACACCGAUAGCGAAGGCAGCUUGCUACACAAUUAUUGACACUGAGGCUCGAAAGCGUGGGGAUCAAACAGG